GACGAACGCUGGCGGCGUGCUUAACACAUGCAAGUCGAACGGAAAGGCCCUGCUUUUGUGGGGUGCUCGAGUGGCGAACGGGUGAGUACCACGUGAGUAACCUGCCCUUGACUUUGGGAUAACUUCAGGAAACUGGGGCUAAUACCGGAUAGGAGCUCCUGCUGCAUGGUGGGGGUUGGAAAGUUUCGGCGGUUGGGGAUGGACUCGCGGCUUAUCAGCUUGUUGGUGGGGUAGUGGCUUACCAAGGCUUUGACGGGUAGCCGGCCUGAGAGGGUGACCGGCCACAUUGGGACUGAGAUACGGCCCAGACUCCUACGGGAGGCAGCAGUGGGGAAUAUUGCACAAUGGGCGGAAGCCUGAUGCGGCAACGCCGCGUGCGGGAUGACGGCCUUCGGGUUGUAAACCGCUUUCGCCUGUGACGAAGCGUGAGUGACGGUAAUGGGUAAAGAAGCACCGGCUAACUACGUG
This 468-nucleotide ribosomal RNA is filed under the name uncultured bacterium. Its description in RNAcentral is "partial 16S ribosomal RNA". It matches the Rfam family "Bacterial small subunit ribosomal RNA", at positions 28 to 507 of the family's 1533-position model. The record is from RNAcentral.